RNAcentral lists this ribosomal RNA (513 nucleotides) under uncultured bacterium. RNAcentral's name for it is "partial 16S ribosomal RNA". It matches the Rfam family "Bacterial small subunit ribosomal RNA", at positions 28 to 523 of the family's 1533-position model. The record is from RNAcentral.
GAUGAACGCUGGCGGCGUGCCUAAUACAUGCAAGUCGAGCGAACAGAUAAGGAGCUUGCUCCUUUGAAGUUAGCGGCGGACGGGUGAGUAACACGUGGGUAACCUACCUAUAAGCCUGGGAUAACUUCGGGAAACCGGAGCUAAUACCGGCUAACAUUUAGAACCGCAUGGUUCUAAAGUGAAAGAUGGUUUUGCUAUCAUUUAUAGAUGGACCCGCGCCGUAUUAGCUAGUUGGUAAGGUAACGGCUUACCAAGGCGACGAUACGUAGCCGACCUGAGAGGGUGAUCGGCCACACUGGAACUGAGACACGGUCCAGACUCCUACGGGAGGCAGCAGUAGGGAAUCUUCCGCAAUGGGCGAAAGCCUGACGGAGCAACGCCGCGUGAGUGAUGAAGGGUUUCGGCUCGUAAAACUCUGUUAUUAGGGAAGAACAAAUGUGUAAGUAACUGUGCACAUCUUGACGGUACCUAAUCAGAAAGCCACGGCUAACUACGUGCCAGCAGCCGCGGUAA